RNAcentral lists this ribosomal RNA (305 nucleotides) under uncultured bacterium. RNAcentral describes it as "bacterial SSU rRNA". It matches the Rfam family "Bacterial small subunit ribosomal RNA", at positions 334 to 636 of the family's 1533-position model. The record is from RNAcentral.
GUUCCCUACGGGACGCAGCAGUGAGGAAUAUUGGUCAAUGGGCGAGAGCCUGAACCAGCCAAGUCGCGUGAGGGAAGACGGUCCUAUGGAUUGUAAACCUCUUUUGCCGGGGAGCAAAAAGCGGUACGUGUACCGCAUCGAGAGUACCCGGAGAAAAAGCAUCGGCUAACUCCGUGCCAGCAGCCGCGGUAAUACGGAGGAUGCGAGCGUUAUCCGGAUUUAUUGGGUUUAAAGGGUGCGCAGGCGGCGAGUUAAGUCAGCGGUAAAAUUUCGGGGCUUAACCCCGUGCCUGCCUCUGAUACUGU